GGCGGGGUAGCUCAGCUGGUUAGAGCGCACGACUCAUAAUCGUGAGGUCGCGGGAUCGAGUCCCGCCCCCGCUACCA
RNAcentral lists this transfer RNA (77 nucleotides) under Nocardioides marmoriginsengisoli. Its description in RNAcentral is "Marmoricola ginsengisoli tRNA-Met". It matches the Rfam family "tRNA". Rfam says of the family: Transfer RNA (tRNA) molecules are approximately 80 nucleotides in length. Their secondary structure includes four short double-helical elements and three loops (D, anti-codon, and T loops). Lineage: Bacteria; Bacillati; Actinomycetota; Actinomycetes; Propionibacteriales; Nocardioidaceae. RNAcentral also lists the same sequence under 3 other names. The record is from RNAcentral.